RNAcentral lists this transfer RNA (83 nucleotides) under Blochmannia endosymbiont of Camponotus sp. C-003. RNAcentral's name for it is "tRNA-Leu". It matches the Rfam family "tRNA". From Rfam's summary of the family: Transfer RNA (tRNA) molecules are approximately 80 nucleotides in length. Their secondary structure includes four short double-helical elements and three loops (D, anti-codon, and T loops). The record is from RNAcentral. Lineage: Bacteria; Pseudomonadati; Pseudomonadota; Gammaproteobacteria; Enterobacterales; Enterobacteriaceae.
GCCGAAGUGGCGAAAUAGGGAGACGCAAUUGACUCAAAAUCAAUCACCUUAAUGGUGUGCCGGUUCGAGCCCGGCCUUCGGCA